UAGAUUGAAGCCAGUUGUUUAGGGUGUUUAGCUGUUAACUAA
This 42-nucleotide transfer RNA is filed under the name Hippotragus niger (sable antelope). Its description in RNAcentral is "partial tRNA-Asn". The record is from RNAcentral. Lineage: Eukaryota; Metazoa; Chordata; Mammalia; Artiodactyla; Bovidae.